This 396-nucleotide ribosomal RNA is filed under the name uncultured bacterium. RNAcentral's name for it is "bacterial SSU rRNA". It matches the Rfam family "Bacterial small subunit ribosomal RNA", at positions 28 to 424 of the family's 1533-position model. The record is from RNAcentral.
GAUGAACGCUGGCGGCAUGCCUUACACAUGCAAGUCGAACGGCAGCACGGGAGCAAUCCUGGUGGCGAGUGGCGAACGGGUGAGUAAUAUAUCGGAACGUGGCCCAGUCGUGGGGAUAACGUAGCGAAAGCUACGCUAAUACCGCAUACGAUUUAUGGAUGAAAGCGGGGGAUCGCAAGACCUCGCGCGAUUGGAGCGGCCGAUAUCAGAUUAGGUAGUUGGUGAGGUAAGAGCUUACCAAGGCGACGAUCAGUAUCUGGUUUGAGAGGACGAUCAGACACACUGGAACUGAGACACGGUCCAGACUCCUACGGGAGGCAGCAGUGGGGAAUUUUCCGGCAAUGGGCGAAAGCCUGACGGAGCAAUACCGCGUGAGGGAAGAAUAGCCUAUGGGUU